This 145-nucleotide unclassified non-coding RNA is filed under the name Starmerella bombicola. RNAcentral's name for it is "sequence contains 18S rRNA gene, ITS1, 5.8S rRNA gene". The stretch from base 95 to 145 matches the Rfam family "5.8S ribosomal RNA", at positions 1 to 51 of the family's 154-position model. The record is from RNAcentral. Lineage: Eukaryota; Fungi; Ascomycota; Dipodascomycetes; Dipodascales; Trichomonascaceae.
UUGUGAACGCACUCUCGGGUGCAUUGAAGGAGUGCUUUCGGGCACGCUUUUCUUUUAACUUUUAUUUUUAUAUCUGACAACCAAGAAAAUUUAAAACUUUCAACAACGGAUCUCUUGGUUCUCGCAUCGAUGAAGAACGCAGCGA